RNAcentral lists this ribosomal RNA (253 nucleotides) under uncultured bacterium. RNAcentral's name for it is "partial 16S ribosomal RNA". It matches the Rfam family "Bacterial small subunit ribosomal RNA", at positions 524 to 776 of the family's 1533-position model. The record is from RNAcentral.
GACGAAGGGGGCUAGCGUUGUUCGGAAUUACUGGGCGUAAAGCGCGUGUAGGUGGUUGUCCAAGUUGGAUGUGAAAGCCUUGAGCUCAACUCAAGAAAUGCAUUCAGGACUGGGCGGCUAGAGGACCGGAGAGGAUAGUGGAAUUCCCAGUGUAGUGGUGAAAUACGUAGAGAUUGGGAAGAACACCAGUGGCGAAGGCGGCUAUCUGGCUCGAUACUGACGCUGAGGUGCGAAAGCUAGGGUAGCAAACGGG